UACGAAGGGGGCUAGCGUUGCUCGGAAUCACUGGGCGUAAAGCGCACGUAGGCGGUCUUUUAAGUUAGGGGUGAAAUCCUGGAGCUCAACUCCAGAACUGCCUUUGAUACUGAGAGGCUUGAGUCCGGGAGAGGUGAGUGGAACUGCGAGUGUAGAGGUGAAAUUCGUAGAUAUUCGCAAGAACACCAGUGGCGAAGGCGGCUCACUGGCCCGGUACUGACGCUGAGGUGCGAAAGCGUGGGGAGCAAACAGG
Molecule: ribosomal RNA, 253 nt
Filed under: uncultured bacterium
Lineage: Bacteria
Description: partial 16S ribosomal RNA
Rfam family: Bacterial small subunit ribosomal RNA
Source: RNAcentral